GCCCGGUUAGCUCAAUCGGUAGAGCGUGAGACUCUUAAUCUCAAGGUUGCGGGUGAGUACAAUGUCUAAGAUAUGAGUGACAAAAAUUCUGACAACGUUGCCUAGGUUCGACCCCCGCAUCGGGCU
Molecule: non-coding RNA, 126 nt
Organism: Xylaria longipes
Lineage: Eukaryota; Fungi; Ascomycota; Sordariomycetes; Xylariales; Xylariaceae
Source: the annotation of a GenBank genome assembly